CCCGACUGCUAUUUGGGUGAGAGUAAGCCAUGCGAGUUGAAUGGAAUACCUAAAUUUUCCAUAGCAAACUGCUCAGUAACACAUGAUCAACUUACCCUAUAGAGAAAAAUAACCUCGGGAAACUGAGGAUAAUGUUUCAUAGUUGAAAAGGCUUGGAAAAGUUUUUCAAUAAAAAGGAUAAGAAAAAUGGUUCUUAUCCGCUAUAGGAUAGGAUCGUGCUCGAUUAUGGUUGUUGGUGAGGUAAUGGCUCACCAAGCCGAUAAUCGAUAGGGGCCGUGAGAGCGGGAGCCCCGAGAUGGGUACUGAGACAACGACCCAGGCCUUACGAGGCGCAGCAGGCGCGAAACCUCAGCAAUACACGAAAGUGUGACUGGGUUACCCAAAGUGUUCAGUUUUGAACUGUGGUAGGUGAGUAAUGUCCCCUACUAGAAAGGAGAGGGCAAGGCUGGUGCCAGCCGCCGCGGUAAAACCAGCUCUUCAAGUGGUCGGGAUAAUAUUGGGCUUAAAGUGUCCGUAGCCUGUUUAGUAAGUUCCUGGUAAAAUCGGGUAGCUUAACUAUCUGUAUGCUAGGAAUACUGCUAAACUAGAGGGCGGGAGAGGUCUGAGGUACUACAGGGGUAGGGGUGAAAUCUUAUAAUCCUUGUAGGACCACCAGUGGCGAAGGCGUCAGACUGGAACGUGCCUGACGGUGAGGGACGAAAGCCAGGGGAGCGAACCGGAUUAGAUACCCGGGUAGUCCUGGCCGUAAACGAUGCAUACUAGGUGAUGGCAUGGCCAUGAGCCGUGUCAGUGCCGUAGGGAAACCGUUAAGUAUGCCGCCUGGGAAGUACGGUCGCAAGGCUAAAACUUAAAGGAAUUGGCGGGGGAGCACCACAAGGGGUGAAGCCUGCGGUUCA
Molecule: ribosomal RNA, 896 nt
Filed under: uncultured archaeon
Lineage: Archaea
Description: bacterial SSU rRNA
Rfam family: Archaeal small subunit ribosomal RNA
Source: RNAcentral